UACGUAGGAUGCAAGCGUUGUCCGGAAUUAUUGGGCGUAAAGAGUUCGUAGGCGGUUCGUUAAGUCAGAGGUUAAAGACUGGGGCUCAACCCCAGGAGUGCCUUUGAUACUGGCGGGCUUGAGGACGGCAGAGGAAAGUGGAAUUCCAAGUGUAGCGGUGAAAUGCGUAGAUAUUUGGAGGAACACCAGUGGCGAAAGCGACUUUCUGGGCCGUUACUGACGCUGAGGAACGAAAGCGUGGGGAGCAAACAGG
Molecule: ribosomal RNA, 253 nt
Filed under: uncultured bacterium
Lineage: Bacteria
Description: partial 16S ribosomal RNA
Rfam family: Bacterial small subunit ribosomal RNA
Source: RNAcentral